This is a long non-coding RNA of Ictalurus punctatus (channel catfish), 1023 nucleotides long. RefSeq lists it as uncharacterized. The record is from RefSeq and is a predicted model, not a curated record. Lineage: Eukaryota; Metazoa; Chordata; Actinopteri; Siluriformes; Ictaluridae. The transcript is spliced from 3 exons.
GAUUGGAUGGAUUGGAUGGAUUGGAAGGAUUGUGACUGCGCUGUGCUGGAUUUAUAAAAGAAUAAGAUCUGACAAACCUGCUGCUGCACCACAAGACAAUCCUACUGCUGCACCGCAAGACAAUCCUGCUGAUGCACUGCAAGACAAUCCUGCUGCUGCACCACAUGACAAACCUGCUGCUGCACCGCAAGACAAUUCUGCUGCUGCACCGCAAGACAAUCCUGCUGAUCAAGAAAUACAGCCACUGCUGAAAACACCACAUGAUGAUCGUGGUUGUGUGGCUUUGGGGAAGGAGGCUGCCCAAUACACUCCAGUCAAGACGGAUCCUGAGUAAUGCAGUUUCCAGCACAACAGGUUUCCUUCAGGUUUCCUCUCAUCUCCCAGAAACAUGCCAGUAGGAGGAUUGGUUUUGCUAAAUUGAAUCUAGGUGUGAAUAAGUGUGUGAAUUGUGCCCUGUGAUGGACCCGCAUCCCAUCCAUGGUGUAUUCCCACCUCGCAUACAUUGUCCCCUCUUUACUGGCUAAGAAAGUUUCUAAAGGCUUUAUUCAAUUCAGUUCAGUGUUAUUUGUGUACAGCGUGUUUAACAGUGGACAUUGUCCCAGAGCAGCGUUACAGAAAUAUAUAAAUUCAGGAUAUAGAUGUUAAAUGUAUGAAUUUAUCCCUAAUGAGCAGCCAGAGGCGACGGUGGUGAGAAAAACUCCCUGAGUGUUACGAAACGGGACUGGAGGCGGAUGCAGGUGCAGGUCACAGUCUUUAUUACUUAGCAAAUAAACGAACACAGUGAGCGUGGUCUCUACUGACUAUACAAACUCUGGUCAUCUAGCUACGACCGCUAGCAUGCUACACGUUAGCACAUACCGUCACACUUCCUUGACAUGACAAACAUAAACCAAAUAAUACUGCUCAAUGUGCGCAGUCACCGAGGGGUUUAGUCAACAUAAUCAAACCAAAACAUGAACACAUGGGGCAAAUCAGAGACAAGAUCAGACUUAAAUUAAUGUUCAAGCAGGAAGCAAACGAAAA